Molecule: long non-coding RNA, 982 nt
Organism: Cyprinus carpio carpio
Lineage: Eukaryota; Metazoa; Chordata; Actinopteri; Cypriniformes; Cyprinidae
Source: Ensembl
UUCUUUGUGUGUGGGUGUGUGUGUGUAAGUGAGUGUGUGAGAAAGACAGAGAGAGAGACUCACAUUAAUAAAUGCCAUACAGUUGUUGUUAAUGUAAUUUAAUAUAAUUAAUGUUAAUAACUGAAACCUUAUUGGAAGUGUUACUCAAGUUUUAUAUAUUGUGUUGUGUGUGUCGCUUGAUGGUUUGGAUUAACCCUUUCAUUGCUGUAUCCCUUAAAUCCAAACUGCUAAAUUAAGUGUGCCCAAUCCUGUUCCUGGCGAUCGACUGUCCUGAAAAGUUCAGAUCCAACUCUAAUCAGUCACACCUACCUUUAAUUUUCAAGCAAUCCUGAAGACAUUAAUUAGUUGCUUCAGGUGUGUUUGAGUAGGGUUGGAGCUAAACUUUGCAGGACAGUCGAUCGCCAUCAACAGGGUUGGACACCCCUGUGCUAGAGGGUUAUUGUGUAUGUCUCCACUGGGCACACUUUGACUGAUGGCACCGGGGUGGCGUUUGCGCUGACGGCUCGGGCCCGCCAUCGCUGCUUGCAGCUAUAUUUAGGGCUCAAGCCUGGAGGGCGAGAGCCCUAUUGUUUUCCUUAGGAUUAUUUUUUAUUAUUAUUAUUAUUAUUAUUUUUUUUUUCCAACGUCUCGGGGGCUUUUGGGGCCCUUAACAUACUCGAAAACUCUUGAAAAUUGGCACACACAUUGGAACCUGCGGCCAUUAGGGCCGGGCAGAGACUGAUACACGGGCGUGGCACAGGGGCUCUACAGCGCCCCCUGGAAUAUUGAGGGCCAUAUAUCAUGCAUACUUGCACGUAUACAUAUGAAACUCGGUACACAUGUAGAUCUCAUCAAACCAAACAACUUUCGCACUGCAUGUCAUAAGCUCCGCCCAACAGGAAGUUGGCUAUUUAGGGUUUUGUGAAAAACACAUGCUCUGGAAUUUGAUAUACUCCUCUGAGGAACUCCACCCGUUUGCCACAAAACUCGGUGAACAUGAUCU